AAAUUUGGAAAACAGUUUAGCACAAAAUAAAUUAUCUCACAUAAAAAAUCUGUAUUAAAGUUGAAACAUUAAAAAAUUUUAAAAUGAAAAAUUUUAUUAUUUUAUUUUUUUUAAUUGUGGCAAUUAGCGCAUUGUCAGAAGCUAAGUGUAAAAAAGUUGAUAAGACAUGCGAUGAAUCAAUUGAUUGCUGUUCAAAAUGGUGUUAUGCAAAUACAUGCGUUAAAUGGACUGACGGACCAAAUCCAUGCGCUGAUUUUAAAUGUAUCGAUAAAAAGCAAACUUGUGUUAUUGAGCAUCGAUGUGUUACUGGUGGGUGUCGUCCAGUCGCUACUUGUGUUGACAAAAAAUAAUUAAUUUUAAUAAACUACCAAAUUAAUUGAAUAAUAAAUUUCAUUAAUUUUUUUAGUAAAAAAUGUUUAUUACAAAAUUAUGUAAUUUAAAAAAAAAAAAAUUACAAUUAUUGAUAAUAAUUAAUUCAAAGUCUAGACACUUAGUUAAAUUUUAAAUAAUUAAUUAAAUGGAAAAUUUAUAAGUAGUAUUAAAAAAAUAAAAAAAAUAAUCAAGUUAUUGACAUGAGUAAUUUGCCGGAAAGACUUUAACCUCAUGGAUUGUUUCAUAUCAAAUGACCAGACAGUUCAAGGAUUUUUUUAUUUUAUUUAUUUCCUAGAUCAAAGGAUUAAUUAACCAAAUAAAUAUAAUUAACUCGUA
Microplitis mediator is the source of this 708-nucleotide long non-coding RNA. RefSeq lists it as uncharacterized. NCBI's taxonomy places the organism in Eukaryota, Metazoa, Arthropoda, Insecta, Hymenoptera, Braconidae. The record is from RefSeq and is a predicted model, not a curated record. The transcript is spliced from 3 exons.